This 132-nucleotide small RNA is filed under the name bovine gut metagenome. RNAcentral describes it as "Ribosomal protein L10 leader". It matches the Rfam family "Ribosomal protein L10 leader", at positions 17 to 133 of the family's 138-position model. Rfam says of the family: This family is a putative r-protein leader autoregulatory structure found in B. subtilis and other low-GC Gram-positive bacteria. It is located in the 5' untranslated regions of mRNAs encoding ribosomal proteins L10 and L12 (rplJ-rplL). The record is from RNAcentral.
AUAGCGGACUGCCAAAGACAGCAGGUGCCGUAAGGCUUAAGGGUAACACGCCUGCCGAGGGAGAUACUUUUUCAUGUAGAGCAUGAUUUUUCAGGUGCUUCCUCUUUAUGCAGAGGAAGCACUUUUUUCAUA